This 450-nucleotide ribosomal RNA is filed under the name uncultured delta proteobacterium. Its description in RNAcentral is "bacterial SSU rRNA". It matches the Rfam family "Bacterial small subunit ribosomal RNA", at positions 92 to 523 of the family's 1533-position model. Lineage: Bacteria; Deltaproteobacteria. The record is from RNAcentral.
AAAGUGGCGCACGGGUGAGUAACACGUAGGUAAUCUUCCUCGAGUGGUGGAUAACCCUCCGAAAGGAGGCUAAUACAGCAUGAGACUACGGCUUCUCCGGAAGCUGAAGCCAAAGCGGGCCUCUUCAUGAAAGCUCGCGCUUGAGGAUGAGCCUGCGGCCCAUCAGCUAGUUGGCGGUGUAACGGACCACCAAGGCAUAGACGGGUAGCUGGUCUGAGAGGAUGAACAGCCACACUGGAACUGAGACACGGUCCAGACUCCUACGGGAGGCAGCAGUGGGAAUCUUGCGCAAUGGGCGAAAGCCUGACGCAGCGACGCCGCGUGAGUGAUGAAGGCCCUCGGGUUGUAAAGCUCUGUGGGGAGAGACGAAUAAGGGCCGGCUAAUACCCGGCUCGAUGACGGUAUCUCCUUAGCAAGCACCGGCUAACUCUGUGCCAGCAGCCGCGGUAA